GGGAUAUCGUGACAUAUCGGGGUCAUUGGGGUCACUGGGGACACGUCAGGACGGCCGGGUGACUCCGGGGGUCCCCUCUGUUGCCGCCUGGGCGGUUCCUGGCACCUGGUGGGCGUGGCCAGCUGGGGCGUGGCCUGCGG
This 140-nucleotide long non-coding RNA is filed under the name Parus major (Great Tit). RNAcentral describes it as "lncRNA (ENSPMJG00000003128.1)". The record is from RNAcentral. Lineage: Eukaryota; Metazoa; Chordata; Aves; Passeriformes; Paridae.